GCGGCAGCUACCAUGCAGUCGAGCGGGGAAGGUAGCUUGCUACCUAACCUAGCGGCGGACGGGUGAGUAAUGCUUAGGAAUCUGCCUAUUAGUGGGGGACAACAUUCCGAAAGGAAUGCUAAUACCGCAUACGCCCUACGGGGGAAAGCAGGGGAUCUUCGGACCUUGCGCUAAUAGAUGAGCCUAAGUCAGAUUAGCUAGUUGGUGGGGUAAAGGCCUACCAAGGCGACGAUCUGUAGCGGGUCUGAGAGGAUGAUCCGCCACACUGGGACUGAGACACGGCCCAGACUCCUACGGGAGGCAGCAGUGGGGAAUAUUGGACAAUGGGCGAAAGCCUGAUCCAGCCAUGCCGCGUGUGUGAAGAAGGCCUUUUGGUUGUAAAGCACUUUAAGCGAGGAGGAGGCUACCGAGAUUAAUACUCUUGGAUAGUGGACGUUACUCGCAGAAUAAGCACCGGCUAACUCUGUGCCAGCAGCCGCGGUAAUACAGAGGGUGCGAGCGUUAAUCGGAUUUACUGGGCGUAAAGCGUGCGUAGGCGGCUUUUUAAGUCGGAUGUGAAAUCCCUGAGCUUAACUUAGGAAUUGCAUUCGAUACUGGGAAGCUAGAGUAUGGGAGAGGAUGGUAGAAUUCCAGGUGUAGCGGUGAAAUGCGUAGAGAUCUGGAGGAAUACCGAUGGCGAAGGCAGCCAUCUGGCCUAAUACUGACGCUGAGGUACGAAAGCAUGGGGAGCAAACAGGAUUAGAUACCCUGGUAGUCCAUGCCGUAAACGAUGUCUACUAGCCGUUGGGGCCUUUGAGGCUUUAGUGGCGCAGCUAACGCGAUAAGUAGACCGCCUGGGGAGUACGGUCGCAAGACUAAAACUCAAAUGAAUUGACGGGGGCCCGCACAAGCGGUGGAGCAUGUGGUUUAAUUCGAUGCAACGCGAAGAACCUUACCUGGUCUUGACAUAGUAAGAACUUUCCAGAGAUGGAUUGGUGCCUUCGGGAACUUACAUACAG
This 998-nucleotide ribosomal RNA is filed under the name Acinetobacter johnsonii. RNAcentral describes it as "bacterial SSU rRNA". It matches the Rfam family "Bacterial small subunit ribosomal RNA", at positions 39 to 1037 of the family's 1533-position model. Lineage: Bacteria; Pseudomonadati; Pseudomonadota; Gammaproteobacteria; Moraxellales; Moraxellaceae. The record is from RNAcentral.